RNAcentral lists this long non-coding RNA (898 nucleotides) under Salmo salar (Atlantic salmon). RNAcentral describes it as "lncRNA (ENSSSAG00000103044.1, ENSSSAG00000110082.1)". The record is from RNAcentral. Lineage: Eukaryota; Metazoa; Chordata; Actinopteri; Salmoniformes; Salmonidae.
AUCGGGAUUAAGUGGUACUUGCUAAGCAAGCAGUGUGAUGUACUUUACAUAUGCUAUCCCUUUUUAAAGGCAUGUCAAAGCUCCAGGGACGCAGCAGAGAGCAGAAGGGUAGGGUGGAGAACACUGCCUUUUUGCAGUGGUAUUGGCCUCGGUUUGUGUCCAUCUCUCCCCUUCCUCAGGCCUCCAUUACUUUCCACUGAGAAUCUUCAUUCACAGACGACCGAGUUUUGAAAUCAGUGGAAUUCGAGUACGAUAGCUAAGGAGAUGGAGAAAACACCGGUCUGGAUUACAUUGUCAAACUAAGGCAACCAUGCAUGGCAUCAGACAGGAGACGCAUCUAACCACGAUGUAUACUGGUCCCACAUCUAGCCAUCACUCUGGUUGUAAUUCUGAUGGUGUCCACAAGAUGACAGCAGUGUAUGUGCAAAGUUUCAGACGGAUAACUUGAAGUAUGAAGUGAAGUCACCCAGGUACAUUUGGGUAAAUCAUGAAGGAGACAUUUACAUUCACGUUACAUUUUUCUGCAAGAAUAUUGUAAAAUCCGUAUACUUGGACUUUGAUUUUCCAGUAUUAGUAGGCAUAUUAUAAGUUCAACAUUUGCAAAACACCCACUUUUCAUAACUCUCCAUAUUCUUAUCAUUUUUGUCUAAAAGGAAAGGCUUUUCCUAAAGGAAAAAGUUAGCAGCUACAUUUUGCAACAAAUACAGGGUUUCCCGAUACUCCCGUAAAGCCCAGCUCAUUGGCUAUCUAGCUAGUUUAUUUGACAAAGUUACAGUAGAUCAAGUGAAGACCGCACGCGUCAUCGGUGCCAUGUAGGCGUUGCUCUCUGACCAAAUUUGGUGUCCUAUAGGAUAUACUACACCCCUAAUGACAUAGUUAUGUUCUAGGAUCUCUGAAG